UAGAGGAAGUAAAAGUCGUAACAAGGUUUCCGUAGGUGAACCUGCGGAAGGAUCAUUAACGAGUUUGAAAGGGGUUGUCGCUGGCCCUCCGGGGCAUGUGCACGCCUCGCUCAUCCAUCUACACACCUGUGCACCUUUUGUGGGUCCCGGAUGCCGAGGGAGUCAAAUCCCGAGGCCGAAGGUUCCUGCGUCUUUACACACACUUUGUAUGUUCAGAAUGUCUAUACCGCGGUAAAACGCAUCUAAUACAACUUUCAACAACGGAUCUCUUGGCUCUCGCAUCGAUGAAGAACGCAGCGAAAUGCGAUAAGUAAUGUGAAUUGCAGAAUUCAGUGAAUCAUCGAAUCUUUGAACGCACCUUGCGCUCGCCGGUAUUCCGGCGAGCAUGCCUGUUUGAGUCUCAUGAAUCUCUCAAACCCCUGGCUUGCUCAGGGGCUUUGGACUUGGAGGUCUGCCGGCGUCCGCGUCGGCUCCUCUCUAAAUGCAUUAGCUCGGAUCGUAUGUGUCGGUCUGCGGUGUGAUAAACGUCUACCCGCGGGAUCGGUGCCUCGCAUGAAUGGGAACUUACCGUGGACUUUGCGGUCUGCAGUGCUUCGGCCGUGUGAGCCUCCCUGAAGUGCGGGUCGGUCUGGCUUCCAAUCGCCCUCUGGGCAAACUCUACAUGACAUCUGAGCUCAAAUCAGGUAUGACUACCCGCUGAACUU
Molecule: ribosomal RNA, 704 nt
Filed under: Laetisaria endoxylon
Lineage: Eukaryota; Fungi; Basidiomycota; Agaricomycetes; Corticiales; Corticiaceae
Description: eukaryotic LSU rRNA
Rfam family: 5.8S ribosomal RNA (bases 250-403)
Source: RNAcentral